Long non-coding RNA from Ostrea edulis (European flat oyster), 288 nucleotides. RefSeq lists it as uncharacterized. NCBI's taxonomy places the organism in Eukaryota, Metazoa, Mollusca, Bivalvia, Ostreida, Ostreidae. The record is from RefSeq and is a predicted model, not a curated record. The transcript has 2 exons.
UUCAGCUAAUCCAUUUUCUUUUGGAAACCAAUGAAAACUCAUAUGCAGAACCUAUUGACCAACCUGGACUAUCAGCAUCUAAGGAAACAGCUCAAUGAAGACAUGAAUAGUGACAAAAAUAUCCCACUCUCAAUCCAUAUUGAAGAAUAAAUCAACUUUUUGCAACAUAUACAGAUAGAAUUGCCCAGUCAUUGUCCAUCAUAUGUGCUAAGGAAUGUUCAAGUGAAGAAUGUGAAGAUAAUGAACAAUCCUGUAUAAAGAAUUCAAAAUUAAAAGUUUAAGAAUUAA